Molecule: ribosomal RNA, 932 nt
Filed under: uncultured archaeon
Lineage: Archaea
Description: partial 16S ribosomal RNA
Rfam family: Archaeal small subunit ribosomal RNA
Source: RNAcentral
UUCCGGUUGAUCCUGCCGGACCUGACUGCUAUCGGGAUAAGACUAAGCCAUGCAAGUCAUACGUUUCAGCUAUGGAGAGACGUGGCAUACGGCUCAGUAACACGUAGUCAAUCUGCCCCAUGGACGGUGACAACGUCGGGAAACUGACGGUAAUCGCCGAUAGGGAAGAGGUUCUGGAAAGCCCUCUUCUUUCAAAAGUAGUAAAUGCCAUGCUUUUUACUAUGCCGUGGGAUGGGACUGCGUCCGAUCAGGCUGAUGGUGGGGUAACGGCCCACCAUACCUAUAACCGGUACGGGCCCUGAGAGGGGGAGCCCGGAGAUGGAUCCUGAGACAAGGAUCCAGGCCCUACGGGGCGCAGCAGGCGCGAAACCUCCGCUAUGUGCGAAAGCAUGACGGGGUUAUCCCGAGUGUCAGCCGAUGAGGUCGACUUUUCCUUGGUCCAAAAGGCCGGGGGAAUAAGGGGAGGGCAAGAUUGGUGUCAGCCGCCGCGGUAAUACCAACUCCCCGAGUGGUCAGGAUGAUUACUGGGCUUAAAGCGUCCAUAGCCUGUUUGAUAAGUUUUCCGUUAAAUCCGACGUCCUAAGCGUCGGGCUGCGGAAAAUACUGUCAGACUUGGGAGUGGAAGAGGUCGGCGGUACUUGCUGGGGAGGGGUAAAAUCCUUAGAUCCAGAGAGGACCAUCAGUGGCGAAGGCGGCCGACUAGGACACGUCCGACGGUGAGGGACGAAAGCUAGGGGAGCGAUCCGGAUUAGAUACCCGGGUAGUCCCAGCCGUAAACGAUGCAGCUAGGUGUGCGGUCGGCUACGAGCCGGGCCGUGUGCCGUAGGGAAACCGUUAAGCCUGCCGCCUGGGAAGUACGGUCGCAAGGCUGAACUUAAAGGAAUUGGCGGGGGAGCAUCACAAGGUGAAGCUUGCGUUAAUGGAAUCACGCC